ACUUAACUCGGUUGAUUGCAUACAGUGUGUCCUGUCCAUUUUUAAGCAGCACCACAGCUGUCCGUACCUGUAACCCAUUAUCAUCAUUUAAAUUGGUACCGGUAAUAAGCCCCGGUCUGGCGUCUGCUGAUAAAUACUGUAACUUUUAACCGAAUAUUCAACGACAGGAAGGAACCCAGCACACACUACACAGUCACAGUCUACCUCACACAAGGACAAGAUGCAGCCUUUUCGCACAAGUUUCCAGAUUCUGAACUCACUAAAAUCGUGCCGCCAUUUUUCACAAGUUUCUGGAUUAAAGGAUGUGGUCAUCGUCAGCUCAGUCCGCACGCCGAUCGGCUCCUUCCUGGGCUCCCUGUCCACUGUCCCGGCGACAAAACUGGGAUCUACCGUCAUAGCGGCCGCCGUGGAGAAAGCUGG
This is a long non-coding RNA of Aplysia californica (California sea hare), 420 nucleotides long. RefSeq lists it as uncharacterized. Lineage: Eukaryota; Metazoa; Mollusca; Gastropoda; Aplysiida; Aplysiidae. The record is from RefSeq and is a predicted model, not a curated record. The transcript has 3 exons.